UCCCUCAUAGCUCAGUCGGUAAAGAAUCUGCCUGCAAUGCAGGAGACCCGGGUUUGAUUCCUGGGUCGGGAA
This 72-nucleotide transfer RNA is filed under the name Bos taurus (domestic cattle). It matches the Rfam family "tRNA". From Rfam's summary of the family: Transfer RNA (tRNA) molecules are approximately 80 nucleotides in length. Their secondary structure includes four short double-helical elements and three loops (D, anti-codon, and T loops). Further hydrogen bonds mediate the characteristic L-shaped molecular structure. tRNAs have two regions of fundamental functional importance: the anti-codon, which is responsible for specific mRNA codon recognition, and the 3' end, to which the tRNAs corresponding amino acid is attached (by aminoacyl-tRNA synthetases). tRNAs cope with the degeneracy of the genetic code in two manners: having more than one tRNA (with a specific anti-codon) for a particular amino acid; and 'wobble' base-pairing, i.e. permitting non-standard base-pairing at the 3rd anti-codon position. The record is from Rfam by way of RNAcentral. RNAcentral also lists the same sequence under 5 other names. Lineage: Eukaryota; Metazoa; Chordata; Mammalia; Artiodactyla; Bovidae.